This 230-nucleotide ribosomal RNA is filed under the name uncultured bacterium. RNAcentral's name for it is "partial 16S ribosomal RNA". It matches the Rfam family "Bacterial small subunit ribosomal RNA", at positions 332 to 578 of the family's 1533-position model. The record is from RNAcentral.
UGAACCUACGGGGGGCAGCAGGGGGGGAUAUUGGACAAUGGGGGAAACCCUGAUCCAGCGACGCCGCGUGAGUGAAGAAGUAUUUCGGUAUGUAAAGCUCUGUCAGCAGGGAAGAAAGAGAUGACGGUACCUGACCAAGAAGCCCCGGCUAACUACGUGCCAGCAGCCGCGGUAAUACGUAGGGGGCAAGCGUUAUCCGGACUUACUGGGUGUAAAGGGAGCGUAGACGG